Molecule: non-coding RNA, 95 nt
Filed under: Sinomonas humi
Lineage: Bacteria; Bacillati; Actinomycetota; Actinomycetes; Micrococcales; Micrococcaceae
Also listed under: 1 other name
Description: Glycine riboswitch aptamer
Rfam family: Glycine riboswitch aptamer
About the family: This family represents the bacterial glycine riboswitch. Glycine riboswitches usually consist of two metabolite-binding aptamers domains with similar structures in tandem.
Source: Rfam by way of RNAcentral
UAAGCCGCAGCGGGAGAGUCCGACAUAACCCGGUCGGCGCCGUAGGAGCAACACCUCCCCAGGAAUCUCUCAGGCACCUGUACCGCCGCGGCAAG